UGACAAAAUAUUUUUAUAAUAAUAAGCUUAUUUUUGUAAAAAUAUCAAGAUACUUUUACAAUAAUAAGUUUAUUCUUAUAUCUUGUUAGUGUCUUUCUAAUAUACAGUAAUAUAAUUUUAAAAUACAGUAAUAUUAUUUGUUUUUAAUUUUUUUUUCAUACCUUUUUCUUGUUAGUAAAGUUGUUAUACGUAAAGCAGAACUGAUUUAAUAACUUAUUUUUAUUGACUGUUGACAAUUUCAAGAUCUUUUUUUUUUUGAUUAUACAAUUUUUUUGUUAUCAUUAUUCUAAUAUGCACAGACUACAGCUGGUAAGUUAUUAUAGCAUAACUUUUAUUAACCAUUAAAGAAAUAUAAAUAAAUAUAUGUAUUUCCUACUUAUUUAAUUAUUACUUGUUGUGUAUGGAUUUCCCAUUUGCUGCAAUUUUUUAAUUUUAGUAUCUAUCUUUUGUGUUACACUUGGUAAGUUAAACAACUUUUUAAUGUGAAAUUAAAAAGUUGUUUAACUUUAUUUCCUUUACAAUAUGUUUAACUUUAUUUCCUUAGUCAUGUGCUGCAACUAGUAAUUUAAAAAACUAUUACAUUUUAUGUGUAUGCAUUUCUCGUUAUUUAAAAUAUUGAUUUUUUGUUACAACAUUGUAGUUUUAGUAUCUACCUUUUGUGCUACACCUAAACAACUCUUUUUAAUGUGCACAAAUUUCUCAUUGAUUGCAAUAUUGAUUUUUAUAAUAUAUUUUUUACCUUUAGUUCUUUAUACGUGUGGCUACGCCUGUUCCAUCUGUACCACCUUUAAACGGUUGGUGGGUUAAAUAUGAUCAUUUAAAUGAGAAAAUGUAUACUAGUGCAACUUGUAAUCUGGGUGUUAUAACAUUACAACCACAUCUAUGGUCAACUCUAAGAUCACCUUAUUUUGUUUGGCAGUGUUUUGGAAUCAAGUUAUGGCAAUAUUUUGUGUAUAAAAUAUAACAAUUACAUUUAAAAAGUGCUUAUUUCUGACAAAAA
This is a long non-coding RNA of Hydra vulgaris (swiftwater hydra), 1000 nucleotides long. RefSeq lists it as uncharacterized. Lineage: Eukaryota; Metazoa; Cnidaria; Hydrozoa; Anthoathecata; Hydridae. The record is from RefSeq and is a predicted model, not a curated record.